RNAcentral lists this ribosomal RNA (253 nucleotides) under uncultured bacterium. Its description in RNAcentral is "partial 16S ribosomal RNA". It matches the Rfam family "Bacterial small subunit ribosomal RNA", at positions 524 to 776 of the family's 1533-position model. The record is from RNAcentral.
UACGUAGGGUGCAAGCGUUAAUCGGAAUUACUGGGCGUAAAGCGUGCGCAGGCGGUGAUGUAAGACAGGUGUGAAAUCCCCGGGCUUAACCUGGGAACUGCAUUUGUGACUGCAUCGCUGGAGUGCGGCAGAGGGGGAUGGAAUUCCACGUGUAGCGGUGAAAUGCGUAGAGAUGUGGAGGAACACCGAUGGCGAAGGCAGCCUUCUGGGCCAAUACUGACGCUCAUGCACGAAAGCGUGGGGAGCAAACAGG